UUUGAAAUCUGGCUCUCGGGCCCGAGUUGUAAUUUGUAGAGGAUGCUUUUGGCGAGGUGCCUUCUGAGUUCCCUGGAACGGGACGCCAGAGAGGGUGAGAGCCCCGUAUAGUCGGACACCUAGCCUCUGUAAAGCUCCUUCGACGAGUCGAGUAGUUUGGGAAUGCUGCUCAAAAUGGGAGGUAUAUCUCUUCUAAAGCUAAAUAUAGGCCAGAGACCGAUAGCGCACAAGUAGAGUGAUCGAAAGAUGAAAAGCACUUUGAAAAGAGGGUUAAAUAGCACGUGAAAUUGUUGAAAGGGAAGCGCUUGUGACCAGACUUGUGCCGGGCUGAUCAUCCACCGUUUUCGGUGGUGCACUCGACCCGGCUCAGGCCAGCGUCGGUUCUCGUAGGGGGAUAAAAGCUUCGGGAACGUGGCUCCUUCGGGAGUGUUAUAGCCCGUUGCUUAAUACCCUUGUGGGGACCGAGGUUCGCGCUCUGCAAGGACGCUGGCAUAAUGGUCAUCAGCGA
RNAcentral lists this ribosomal RNA (508 nucleotides) under Coniochaeta euphorbiae. Its description in RNAcentral is "partial large subunit ribosomal RNA". It matches the Rfam family "Eukaryotic large subunit ribosomal RNA", at positions 114 to 647 of the family's 3401-position model. The record is from RNAcentral. Lineage: Eukaryota; Fungi; Ascomycota; Sordariomycetes; Coniochaetales; Coniochaetaceae.